Molecule: ribosomal RNA, 253 nt
Filed under: uncultured bacterium
Lineage: Bacteria
Description: partial 16S ribosomal RNA
Rfam family: Bacterial small subunit ribosomal RNA
Source: RNAcentral
UACGUAGGGGGCUAGCGUUGUCCGGAUUUAUUGGGCGUAAAGAGCGUGUAGGCGGCCAGAUAGGUCCGUUGUGAAAACUGGAGGCUUAACCUCCAGCUGUCGAUGGAAACCAUCUGGCUAGAGUCCGGAAGAGGGGAGUGGAAUUCCUGGUGUAGCGGUGAAAUGCGCAGAUAUCAGGAAGAACACCCGUGGCGAAGGCGGCUCUCUGGGACGGUACUGACGCUGAGGUGCGAAAGCGUGGGGAGCAAACAGG